AUGGAAUACUUAGAAGCCAUCCCUGAUGCAGAUGUACUUCACAAUAUGAUACAUUCCCAAGGUAUCUUGCAAUUAAAAUUUAAUAAAUGGUUUCUUAUUUUUCAGAUGACUACAUCUAUAAUAUUGAGAAUUUCACAUUAUUGGAAUCCUGAUAAUUGGAUUUCUGCGGUGAUAACUAUAACAGGAGUCCUUUUUUUGUUGUGUAUCUAUGCUGUUGCAUGGUGUCUCUUCAAAGAUGCUCCAGGCUGUUCAAGAUUAUUUCCCAAUUGUUACCACUAUCAGAUGAGUCAAUCAAGUCUUACAACUAAGGAAAUCAUCACAGUGCCAAGGAAUCUGAAUUCAUUUAACAGUCAACCAAAGGCAAAGUCAAAGUCAACAUUAUUGCCUGGAAAUGAAAAUUAACUGGAAAGUAAUAUCUCUUCUACAGUUAGACAGGUGAAGUCAAGACGCUGAACUAGUAAGAAAAUAGAAAAAAAAGCCUACAGACACUAGUAGAAGAUGUUUGAUUUGAGAAGCAUGAAGGUCAUUAUAUCUCUUUGCUUUUAUGUCUCCUGAGAUACGUUUGAAAAUGACUUUUAAAAAAUGAAACAUAUAGCAAGGAAAAACUGCAUACACUGCUUACAUUUUCAUGCUUUUGUGUAUUACUCAUGCUUUUUUUUAUCAACCUGAUUGAUUCCUUGCUGCAAUUACAUUAAUGUUUAUAUAGAUGUGAUCAUUGCUUGUUGGAUAAAUAUUUCACAAUAUGUAAAAUAUCAAAUGGAAAAUAAAAUAAGAGUUACAGCUGUUUUCA
RNAcentral lists this long non-coding RNA (790 nucleotides) under Monodelphis domestica (gray short-tailed opossum). Its description in RNAcentral is "lncRNA (ENSMODG00000038422.1)". The record is from RNAcentral. Lineage: Eukaryota; Metazoa; Chordata; Mammalia; Didelphimorphia; Didelphidae.